AUUGAACGCUGGCGGCAGGCCUAACACAUGCAAGUCGAGCGGAUGAAGGGAGCUUGCUCCUGGAUUCAGCGGCGGACGGGUGAGUAAUGCCUAGGAAUCUGCCUGGUAGUGGGGGAUAACGUCCGGAAACGGGCGCUAAUACCUCAUACGUCCUGAGGGAGGAAGUGGGGGAUCUUCGGACCUCACGCUAUCAGAUGAGCCUAGGUCGGAUUAGCUAGUUGGUGGGGUAAAGGCCUACCAAGGCGACGAUCCGUAACUGGUCUGAGAGGAUGAUCAGUCACACUGGAACUGAGACACGGUCCAGACUCCUACGGGAGGCAGCAGUGGGGAAUAUUGGACAAUGGGCGAAAGCCUGAUCCAGCCAUGCCGCGUGUGUGAAGAAGGUCUUCGGAUUGUAAAGCACUUUAAGUUGGGAGGAAGGGCAGUAAGUUAAUACCUUGCUGUUUUGACGUUACCAACAGAAUAAGCACCGGCUAACUUCGU
Molecule: ribosomal RNA, 483 nt
Filed under: uncultured bacterium
Lineage: Bacteria
Description: partial 16S ribosomal RNA
Rfam family: Bacterial small subunit ribosomal RNA
Source: RNAcentral